AGCGAACGCUGGCGGCAGGCCUAACACAUGCAAGUCGAACGAACUCUUCGGAUUUAGUGGCGGACGGGUGAGGAACACGUGGGAACGUGCCUUUUGGUUCGGAAUAACUCAGGGAAACUGGUGCUAAUACCGAAUGUGCCCUUCGGGGGAAAGAUUUAUCGCCAUUAGAGCGGCCCGCGUCUGAGUAGCUAGUUGGUGAGGUAACGGCUCACCAAGGCGACGAUCAGUAGCUGGGCUGAGAGGAUGACCAGCCACACUGGGACUGAGACACGGCCCAGACUCCUACGGGAGGCAGCAGUGGGGAAUCUUGCGCAAUGGGCGAACGCCUGACGCAGCCAUGCCGCGUGAAUGAUGAAGGUCUUAGGAUUGUAAAAUUCUUUCCCCGGGGACGAUAAUGACGGUACCCGGAGAAGAAGCCCCGGCUAACUUCGUG
RNAcentral lists this ribosomal RNA (433 nucleotides) under uncultured bacterium. RNAcentral's name for it is "partial 16S ribosomal RNA". It matches the Rfam family "Bacterial small subunit ribosomal RNA", at positions 29 to 507 of the family's 1533-position model. The record is from RNAcentral.